CCUUGUGGAGGAGGACGCCGAAGGUGGGGCUAAUGACUGGGGUGAAGUCGUAACAAGGUAGCCGUACCGGAAGGUGCGGCUGGAUCACCUCCUAACAGGGAGACAACAAAAUGUUAAAUAUUAAUUUUGUCACCUUAGGUCGAUCGGUAUCUCACAUCCUUAAAUUUAUUAAGGAUUUUAUUUCCUAAGUUUUUUCUAGGUCACACCCAUUACUUUUCCUGGGCCAUUAGCUCAGGUGGUUAGAGCGCACCCCUGAUAAGGGUGAGGUCCCUGGUUCAAGUCCAGGAUGGCCCAUAUCUCUAUGUUGGGGGUAUAGCUCAGUUGGUAGAGCGCCUGCUUUGCAAGCAGGAUGUCAGCGGUUCGAGUCCGCUUACCUCCACUGAUCACCACCUCUUCCAUAAUUUAUUGAAGGGAAAUGUUUUGAGUUGUGAUCAAAUUCUGAACGAAUCUAGCUUCCUAAUCAAAUUUAUUAAGAUGCUGGACUCAUUGAAUUAAUUUCAUUGUUUUCAGAGAACCUUGACAACUGCAUAGAUUAUUUUUAAAGACAAUAAGCAUCUUUAAUGAUGCAGAUUUAUUAUUUGUGCGAAUGCAUUAAUAACAAUUCUAUUAAGCUGAUGCUUCAAUUAUUGAAGUUAUUGGUCAAGCUACAAAGGGCUCACGGAGG
Molecule: unclassified non-coding RNA, 664 nt
Filed under: uncultured Prochlorococcus sp.
Lineage: Bacteria; Bacillati; Cyanobacteriota; Cyanophyceae; Synechococcales; Prochlorococcaceae
Description: partial may contain 16S ribosomal RNA, 16S-23S ribosomal RNA intergenic spacer, and 23S ribosomal RNA
Rfam family: Bacterial small subunit ribosomal RNA (bases 1-95)
Source: RNAcentral